CCCUUAGAUGUCCUGGGCCGCACGCGCGUUACACUGAUGCAUUCAACGAGCUUAUAACCUUGGCCGAGAGGCCUGGGCAAUCUUGUUAACGUGCAUCGUGAUAGGGAUAGAUUAUUCAAAUUAUUAAUCUUGAACGAGGAAUUCCUAGUAAACGCAGAUCAUCAAUCUGCAUUGAUUACGUCCCUGCCCUUUGUACACACCGCCCGUCGCACCUACCGAUUGGAUGGUCCGGUGAAGCCUCGGGAUUGUGGUUCUUGCCGCUUUAUUGUGGCGUGACCGCGAGAACUUGUCUAAACCUUAUCAUCUAGAGGAAGGUGAANUCGUAACA
This 328-nucleotide ribosomal RNA is filed under the name uncultured eukaryote. RNAcentral's name for it is "partial 18S ribosomal RNA". It matches the Rfam family "Eukaryotic small subunit ribosomal RNA", at positions 1470 to 1796 of the family's 1831-position model. The record is from RNAcentral.